AUGAUGUCGCAACCCGUUGUGGCGCCGACAAGCGAGGCACCAGAUGAUGAUAUGAAGUCUGUCAAUGGUUCCGUAUCUCCGUCUGCCUGUACAAGUCUGGGGGGUGGUGUGAUCAGACUUAAGACUACCACAGUGCCUGUUCUCGCCUUUUUUAGAAGUGGGGAAAAAAUUCAAGAUAUUGUUUGGCCGAAAACCAUAGAAAUCAAAGGAAGAGUGAAAUGGGGGUUUUUUAAAAAAUUCCUCAAGGAUCUUCGUCACUCUCAAAAUCGGUCAAUAAUGGUGAUUUCCCUGUUGUUGAAUGUUGAGUCUUCAAAAAAUGGCUUAGAGGGAAUGAAACAGGUUGCAAAGAUGUUAAAAGUGAACAAAAGAAUUGGUUUAGCAACAACAGAAGAUGGUUCAUAUAUUUAUGUAUGUCCUGGACACAAGGACAUAAUAACAGUCCUUGCAAAAUAUGGUUUCUGGAAAGGCGCAUCAACAAUCGAUACAAACCAAGACUCAUUAAUCGGUUUUGUUGUACGGGACCGAAAAUCACCAGUAAACACAAGCAAGGGAGAGGUAAGUACUGCGACAAUACAAGAAAUCAGGGGCACUCGCUUGGAAUCACAAGAAGUGAUAUGUGAUAAGCAAUCAUACCCGGUUCAUCCUCUUCGUGCACCAGUAGAUGAUGGCCUAUACUUUUGGCGUCCUCCCCUGGUACUAGCAGAGCAAGGCUCAUAUUGUCCUUAUCCUCCUCCUGGACUACUACGUCACGACUUCCAUGCUCGGCAUCCUCCUAUUGGACUAUCAGGUCAAGGGUUACAUCCUCAUGCCCCAGAAUGUCAAGGCGUCUUUCAUCAGCUUCCUCCCUGUGCAAGAGGUCAAGGCUUCAUUACCCACCGCACUCCCAAUUUUGCACUCGAAUACUUCAGGCCCUUAACAGAUCAUGGAAACAACAAUGGUUCACAACACUUGAGGCCACCUAGCGGUUCUGCUCCAGGUUAUUUGUGGCAUAGAAGGUCCGAGAAUAAUCUUCCUGGUUUUAAAAGAUCAGAAGGCUUCUCUGGCUCUAGUUCCACAUAUUACUCAAGAUUCGAAAAUGGGUCGAGUAGCAUGCCUCCCAACUAA
Molecule: ribosomal RNA, 1104 nt
Filed under: Triticum aestivum (bread wheat)
Lineage: Eukaryota; Viridiplantae; Streptophyta; Magnoliopsida; Poales; Poaceae
Description: partial small subunit ribosomal RNA
Source: RNAcentral